Fulmarus glacialis (Northern fulmar) is the source of this 489-nucleotide long non-coding RNA. RefSeq lists it as uncharacterized. The record is from RefSeq and is a predicted model, not a curated record. Lineage: Eukaryota; Metazoa; Chordata; Aves; Procellariiformes; Procellariidae. The transcript has 2 exons.
AAUUCAAGUGUUUCUACAGAUGGGUUGAGGAAUUCAUUUACUCACUGUAAGCAAAAUAACUGCUCUUGGUUGAAGCACUGAAUCCAAUCAGAUGAAGAGUGUCAAAAGGAGUCUACGAAUGAGACACCAAGAUGGCAGUUCCACUGUUGAUUGAGAGGUUGAGGAAAUGGACUAAUGCAUGAGUGCUGUGAUAUGUCUGUCCAAGCAAAGGAUGUUAAAACGUGGACUCUCGUGUUAUUAAACCAGAGAAGAUCUGGGUUGUGAUCAUCCUAUCAAAAUGGACUUUGCACUUGAAUUAAUCAGGGGACUGUAUCAGUGACUAUCCAAUGAUGGAUCUGUUUGAGGACUGGGUGGCAAAAUUUUACUCUUGGCUUGUGUAUGCAUAACAGGCAAAUUCAUUUGGUAAGAGAUCUGUUGCUACCACUUUGGAGAAAAUGUAAUGUUUUUUUUUUUUAAGUGAUUUAAUAAAAGGUUUUGGUUUCUUUCACA